GAUGAACGCUGGCGGCGUGCCUAACACAUGCAAGUCGAGCGGACAGACGAUGAGCUUGUUCCUUUGUCGUUAGCGGCGGACGGGUGAGUAACGCGUGGAUCACCCACUUCUCUUUCUGGGAUAAUUACGGAAAACCGGAUCUUAUACCAUAUAAUAUCUUGAACCGUUUGGUUCAAUGGAGAAUGUCGGCUUUGCUGUCUGUAUUAGCUGCUUCCGGGCUGGAUUAGCUAGUUGGUAGGGUAACGGCUUACCAAGGCUACGAUGCGUAGCCGAACUGAGAGGAUGAUAGGCCACACUGGAACUGAGACACGGUCAAGACUCCUACGGGAGGCAGCAGUAGGGAAUCUGCGGCAAUGGGCGAAAGCAUGACGGAGCAAGGCCGCGUGAGUGAAGAAGGCCUUCGGAUCGUAAAGCUCUGUUAUUGGGGAAGAACAGAUGUGGAAGUAGAUAUAGACGUCUUGACGGUACCUAAUAAAAAAGCAACGGCUAACUACGUG
This 497-nucleotide ribosomal RNA is filed under the name uncultured bacterium. RNAcentral's name for it is "partial 16S ribosomal RNA". It matches the Rfam family "Bacterial small subunit ribosomal RNA", at positions 28 to 507 of the family's 1533-position model. The record is from RNAcentral.